RNAcentral lists this transfer RNA (65 nucleotides) under Renibacterium salmoninarum. RNAcentral describes it as "tRNA-Val". Lineage: Bacteria; Bacillati; Actinomycetota; Actinomycetes; Micrococcales; Micrococcaceae. The record is from RNAcentral.
GGCGAUGUCCGGCAUGUGCCACGUUUACACCGUGGAUGUCAUCGGUUCGAUCCCGGUAGGGCCCA